This 74-nucleotide transfer RNA is filed under the name Syntrophales bacterium. Its description in RNAcentral is "tRNA-Gln". It matches the Rfam family "tRNA". From Rfam's summary of the family: Transfer RNA (tRNA) molecules are approximately 80 nucleotides in length. Their secondary structure includes four short double-helical elements and three loops (D, anti-codon, and T loops). Lineage: Bacteria; Pseudomonadati; Thermodesulfobacteriota; Syntrophia; Syntrophales. The record is from RNAcentral.
UGGGAGAUCGUUCAACGGUAGGACAACGGACUCUGACUCCGUGAAUCCAGGUUCGAAUCCUGGUCUCCCAGCCA